Molecule: ribosomal RNA, 460 nt
Filed under: uncultured bacterium
Lineage: Bacteria
Description: partial 16S ribosomal RNA
Rfam family: Bacterial small subunit ribosomal RNA
Source: RNAcentral
CCUACGGGAGGCAGCAGUGAGGAAUAUUGGUCAAUGGGCGCGAGCCUGAACCAGCCAAGCAGCGUGAAGGAUGACUGCCCUACGGGUUGUAAACUUCUUUUGUAAGGGGAUAAAGGUAGGCACGUGUGCCUUUUUGUAUGUACUUUAUGAAUAAGGAUCGGCUAACUCCGUGCCAGCAGCCGCGGUAAUACGGAGGAUUCGAGCGUUAUCCGGAUUUAUUGGGUUUAAAGGGAGCGUAGAUGGGUGGUUAAGUCAGUUGUGAAAGUUUGUGGCUCAACCGUAAAAUUGCAAUUGAUACUGGCAGGCUUGAGUACAGUUGAGGUAGGCGGAAUGCGUGGUGUAGCGGUGAAAUGCUUAGAUAUCACGAAGAACACCGAUUGCGAAGGCAGCUUACUAAACUGCCACUGACGUUGAUGCUCGAAAGUGUGGGGAGCAAACAGGAUUAGAUACCCCAGUAGUC